RNAcentral lists this ribosomal RNA (254 nucleotides) under uncultured bacterium. Its description in RNAcentral is "partial 16S ribosomal RNA". It matches the Rfam family "Bacterial small subunit ribosomal RNA", at positions 524 to 776 of the family's 1533-position model. The record is from RNAcentral.
UACGAGGGGGGCAAGCGUUGUUCGGAAUUAUUGGGCGUAAAGGGCGCGUAGGCGGUUUGACAAGUCUGAUGUGAAAUCUCUGGGCUCAACCCCAGAGUCUGCAUUAGAAACUGUCGGGCUUGAGUAUGGGAGAGGUGAGUGGAAUUUCCGGUGUAGCGGUGAAAUGCGUAGAUAUCGGAAGGAACACCUGUGGCGAAAGCGGCUCACUGGACCAUAACUGACGCUGAGGCGCGAAAGCUAGGGGAGCAAACAGG